Molecule: non-coding RNA, 143 nt
Organism: Ceratotherium simum simum (southern white rhinoceros)
Lineage: Eukaryota; Metazoa; Chordata; Mammalia; Perissodactyla; Rhinocerotidae
Source: RefSeq, a predicted model, not a curated record
AAUCACACAAUUAUGUAGCCUUUUCAGAUUGGCUCCUUUCAGUUAGUAAUAUGCAUCUAAGGUUCCUCCACGUCUCUUUAUGGCUUAAUAGCUCAUUUCUUUAUAGUGCUAGAUAAUAUUCCACUGUCUGGACGUACCACAGC